Molecule: long non-coding RNA, 1317 nt
Filed under: Bos grunniens (domestic yak)
Lineage: Eukaryota; Metazoa; Chordata; Mammalia; Artiodactyla; Bovidae
Description: lncRNA (ENSBGRG00000001828.1)
Source: RNAcentral
GCCAUCUUGGUAACUAAAGUUAAUUUGAAAGGGUUGGCACAUCAUAUAAAUUCAAGGACUAUUCAUUCUUUUAAUGCCACCUGGGUAUGGAUCAUCUACAGUGUUCAUCCUAAGAUACUGGGAAUUAUUGUCUCAUAUCUGAUUCCCUUGACCUGUGCAGUUGUUGUGUUUCAGUCUAAAGAACUCGAAGCAGCAAGACUGUAUUCCGAAUCACCUGUUCUGGGGAAGAUGCCAGUCAAUAAUGUCUUAUUGAAAGACCGGGCCCAGCUAAAGAAAAUGAAGGAAUUGAGCUGCAGUUGGAUUUCAUCAUCUAAACAUGCAAUACACCAGGGAAGCCCUGCAAAUUGAAAUCACUGCAAACUGAGGCCAAACUAAAGCAAGUUGAAAACCCAAAAGAAUAGUCAACAGAAAGGUCAUUGUUUGGAACUUCUAGCAACUCUCAAAGGUUCCAGUUGGCUCCCAUUUGCUGAUUCAUGGACCCUCCUGGGAAGUCUUCAAGAAUUAACAUGGUUUUAAAGAAGUGAAAAAGUAAGAUUAAAAUGUUAGUAAGAGAAGCAAAACAAAGUGAGGAGAAUUAGGAAUCAAAUUUGAUUUUUUUUUUGUCUAUCAUCAUGAAUUUAAAAUUGGGAGUUACUAUUUAGUUAAUUUCAAGAAUAUUUCAAGUAUUAGGGAUUUGAAGAAGAUACAGUUUCUUUUGCUUUGCUAUUGGGUUCAAUUUAAGUUCUGUUAAAUCUCUAAAAAUCAAUAUUAAGUAUAUGUAUUAUGUGACAGUUCCAUCUAAAGUAUCUCGUAUAGAAUAUAGGGCAGAUACAAUGGAGCGGCCAAGCACAUGUAAUUUACCCCACAAAUCUAAAGCACUUCUACAUUGAUUUUUUUUUUUUUUUUGCAGUUUUCUAGCCCCCAGUCACUGAACAGAGAAAAGAUGGCUUACUUUCAUAGCAUGGUGAUACUUAACAGCUACAAAAUGUUCAUCUGUCAUGCCCUCUAAUUCAGGACUGUCUUUUUGUUACCUUUCUUGAUAGGCUUUUUUAGGUCAUUUAAAAAAUUCUUGUCUUCUCUAAAAUGUUAUGACAAGAAAAUCAAAUGGUUUUUAAAAUGUUCUGAUUUGUUGAUUAAUUUUGCCUCUAAAAUUAUAUUAUACUAGUGUUGUUUUUAAUGCUUUAACUAUUUCCAAAUGUAAUUAUCUUGAAAUAACUAUGAAUAGAAAAUUGUGUAUAACUGAAAAGACAGGCUUUCAUAAUGUAUUAAAGUACCUAAUUUAGUAACUAAGAAUAAAAAGGACACACAGAAACCAUUUUUGAGACUGUAAUUAUAAGU